GAUGAAGAACGUAGCGAAAUGCGAUAAGUAAUGUGAAUUGCAGGAUUCAGUGAACCAUCGAAUCUUUGAACGCACAUUGCGCCCGGCAGUAAUCUGCCGGGCAUGCCUGUCCGAGCGUCAUUUCUGCCCUCGAGCGAGUCCAGCAUCUAGGUGCUGGGCCCGCCCGGCGUUGGGGCACUACGGGAAGCCCUGUGCUGUCCCCCGUAGGCCCCGAAAUGAAGUGGCGGUCCUGCCGCGGCGCCCCCUGCGUAGUAUAACAGCUCGCUUCGGGACCCGGUGGAGGCCUGCCGUCAAACCUUACUCUCUAAGUUUGACCUCGGAUCAGGUAGGGUUACCCGCUGAACUUAAGCAUAUCAAUAAGCGGAGGA
This 368-nucleotide unclassified non-coding RNA is filed under the name soil metagenome. RNAcentral's name for it is "partial contains 5.8S ribosomal RNA, internal transcribed spacer 2, and large subunit ribosomal RNA". The stretch from base 1 to 120 matches the Rfam family "5.8S ribosomal RNA", at positions 35 to 154 of the family's 154-position model. The record is from RNAcentral.